AGGACGAACGCUGGCGGCGUGCUUAACACAUGCAAGUCGAGCGGUAAGGCCUUUCGGGUACACGAGCGGCGAACGGGUGAGGUAACACGUGGGUGAUCGUGCCCUGCACUCUGGGAUAAGCCUGGGAAACUGGGUCUAAUACCGGAUAUGACCUGCUCUCGCAGUGGGGGUGGUGGAAAGUAUUUAUCGGUGCAGGAUGGGCCCGCGGCCUAUCAGCUUGUUGGUGGGUAAUGGCCUACCAAGGCGACGACGGGUAGCCGACCUGGAGAGGGUGACCGGCCACACGUGGGACUGAGACCACGGCCCAGACUCC
RNAcentral lists this ribosomal RNA (313 nucleotides) under uncultured soil bacterium. Its description in RNAcentral is "bacterial SSU rRNA". It matches the Rfam family "Bacterial small subunit ribosomal RNA", at positions 26 to 339 of the family's 1533-position model. The record is from RNAcentral.